UGAUAUCUGGGUUCAGAGCGCCACCUA
Molecule: non-coding RNA, 27 nt
Filed under: Mus musculus (house mouse)
Lineage: Eukaryota; Metazoa; Chordata; Mammalia; Rodentia; Muridae
Source: RNAcentral